AGAGAAGUGACGGUGGUACGAGCGGAGCAGAGGAAAAGAGAUGUUAGACAAAGUGUUACUGGCUGCACAGAGAGUACGGAGGAUACAACAUGGAGGUAUGCGCUGCCUCAGCCUCAGUGUCACAGUGCAGUUGGUCUUCCUGAAGAAUAAGGACAAUGUUAACAAUUUUCAGAUAUAGAUAGAGAAAUGAAGUCAGAAGUUGGCACAAAUCCAUGGACUCAUCCUUCUUGGCAAAGUUUCCUUCAGCCCCUUAAUACCAACUGAACAUCACUGUAACACCACAUUGUUGCUGGACAUAACGCCUCUGUAGUGCCGCCACCCCAAGUAAAGGGCAGAAGAUGGUAUUUGAGCACUGGAAACCUUUAAAGAGAAGUUGCAAAAAAGCAGGUCGGCAGGCUGGAGUACGUACAAAAAAGGUGAGAUGUAUUUAUCAAAAAUAUUAACUAAACAGAGGCAAAAAUGAAUCCCAGGAAAUCCAACAAAAAUAACUUAAGCCAUAUUAACAAACAAAUAAAAUCUACAGCGUCACAGAAAGUUGCCACCUCUCUAGUCUCUUCAAUAGACUAGUGACUGAUCUGUUACCUUCUCAGCCUCACCUAAGUGGAAUGUACCAUGUUAGGUUACCGUAGGGUGAGCUAGACUGAUACUACAGCUUCAAAAAAUGAAAACAACAUUGGUUACACACACAGCUAUGAGUGUACCAAAUUAUACAGAAUGUCAUUUACUACAGAACAGUUUUAUCAUUCCUACCUCAACUUGACGGAGCCUAGUGACUCACUACUACCAGUUACCACUACCACUGACUAAGGAGAUGAUCUGCCCAUCAUCACAGCUGUCAAAAAGAACGGGACUGAAGCCCUUCAACAACUGAAACCCAUAUUACAUUUGUGCGACAUGACUGAAAUUAACACAAACAUUAGACUGACAUUAGUGAUUUAACACAAAAACACUAGUAAUGUUGGGAACCAGGGCUUAGUGAAAAGCGAGAGGAGUAACUUUUUCACAGUCCCAUUGGCAAAACUGAAACUCAAAAACAAAGCUAAACCACAUUAGACGUGUAUUUUCAUCUCUCAUAUGAGGCAAACACUUUUGCUGUCAGCAGGCUGCUGUGUAAGUUCACUGUGACUUUCUCAUGCAGGAUCAAUAGUUCACACAUGUGGCACGCCCCUGAAACGUCAAGUGGAACAGUCACUUUACCUCAGGCAAGUCUCACUCAACACUUGUCCUAAACAAAUGAUUUGAUUUUACACCAAAUCAAAAAAUGUCCAUUGGGCUCUGCUAUCAUCCUAAAAAAACACCGUACACUACUUUUUUUCCCUGGGGGCUAUUUGAAGAAAGAGAUGUAACUUUUUUUAUCUUGUUUGGCAAGAAAGGUGCGCCUCAGGGUGUGUCUAGACUCUGUAAACAAGGGUUUCCAGGGAAACACUACACAGCUAAAAGAGUCCUGGCUUUGAGACAUUUACGUCAGAAGAAGUCACGCACCACUAGCAUUACACCAGUAUGUCUUUCAUGUUAUGCACCUGCUUUUUAGGACUCUGCUGAUUGUCUGUCACUCACCGCCACCACUGCGCUCAUUAUCACACACACAUCUAUUUCCUCCAUUGUUGUGGCUCUUUAACAUGUGUUUAACCAAGCAUAAUAAAUACAAUUACACAAACACAGUUACACUCUAUAUUAAAUACAGUUACACUCUAAAGAGUGCACACACACAUCUGGGACUGUGUUUUUAUAAUUUAAAGGACAUUAAGGGUAUAAUAAUCAAUUACACUGUCAUUAAAAAUGUUCUAAUAUAGGAACAUAUAAAAAGGUACAUGUUUAACUUGUUUUAGGCUACAUAAAAAAUAGAUUUAUAUUAUCAAUGGAAAACACUAGGACCUGAGGCCUGGAGACAAACUACACUGGCAAAAGAUUUAAACUUGAAUUUGAUCCUUCCUUCACAACCUAAUGACCCAAAAAUGUUUUAUUAUUUUUGCAGCAAUUAUUUAAUACCUUUUUGAUGCAGAAAACAUAAAUAAAUGAUUUUAUAACAUAAAUAA
Thunnus maccoyii (southern bluefin tuna) is the source of this 2036-nucleotide long non-coding RNA. RefSeq lists it as uncharacterized. Lineage: Eukaryota; Metazoa; Chordata; Actinopteri; Scombriformes; Scombridae. The transcript is spliced from 4 exons. The record is from RefSeq and is a predicted model, not a curated record.